GACUCUGUAGUGAAGUUCAUAAUGGGUUGCAAGCUCAUUGAUGCGCAUUAGUAGUGUGCCGGAGUCU
RNAcentral lists this transfer RNA (67 nucleotides) under Phylloscopus fuscatus. RNAcentral's name for it is "tRNA-Cys". RNAcentral also lists the same sequence under 2 other names. The record is from RNAcentral. Lineage: Eukaryota; Metazoa; Chordata; Aves; Passeriformes; Phylloscopidae.